UCCUUUUUCUUAUUGGCAGGGUGGAGAAGAGGAAAAUAAUUGUUAGAGGAAAAAAGGGGCAACCUGAUUGUAGAAGUGGGUCUUCUGGCUGGAGAUCUCAAGUAUAUUAUUGAUUCUAACGGGAAGAACAAUGAAGAAAUGGAUUCAUCCAUUACUCAUAUUCUUGUGGCUGCAGCUGUACUGGGUAAGCAGAGGAGAGAAGGUGGAGCAGCGUCCUUCUACCCUGAGUGUCCAGGAGGGAGACAGAGCUGUUAUCAACUGUACUUAUUCAGAUAGUGGUUCAGAGUACUUCCCUUGGUAUAAGCAAGAAGCUGGAAAAGGUCCCCAGCAUAUUAUAGACAUUCGUUCAAAUAAGGACAUAAAUCAAAUCCAAAGAUUCAUUGUUGUGUUGGCUAAGAAAGCCAAACACUUCUCCCUGAACAUCACAGCCACCCAGCCUGGAGACUCAGCUGUCUACUUCUGUGCAGCCAGUACACGAUGCUUCCCAGACACCUGCAGCCUGUACUCAAACCUGCCACUGGGCUAA
Marmota flaviventris (yellow-bellied marmot) is the source of this 526-nucleotide non-coding RNA. The record is from the annotation of a RefSeq genome assembly. Lineage: Eukaryota; Metazoa; Chordata; Mammalia; Rodentia; Sciuridae.